UUCACAUGUCCAUGGCAUAUGAAGCUGUUGGCUCUACUGAAAUGGCCUCAUAAUCCAGACUUCAAUUGUCCUAUUAUAAUGCUUUCCCAGUAAUCCAUUAUAACUCUCUGUAAUUUACCUCCACACCAGUGUGUGCGCUGUUCGCGCCCUGCUGGUUAAUCUGCUCCACGGUCUCUCUCUAUCAUUCUGCCCCGCCCCCUACCCCCGCCCUCACUGCUUCCAUUUGAAAAAAAUCGGCGGGACUCGGGAGAUGAGUCUGAGAGCUGGAGCAAAAACCUCCGAAAUAUGGGGAUAUUUCAGGCCAACUGGUAAAAGAGUUGUCGGUACACUCUGUCAAACUUCACUUGGAAACACACAGGAGUUGUUCGAGACGUUUGGAGCGGUUGUUUUCUCUCCUCCAUGUCAUCUCCGGGUCUCCAAAGAUGCGCUCACAGAAAAGAAGAAGUCAACGUAGAAAGGAGUCCGCCGUCUUCACAACUCGGAGACAAACUGUAACAGGCGCUACAAACCGGAGCUGUUAGGGUGAGGUGUGGACCCAAGAGCGAACACAGACUAGAUGGUUGGGAGUUAACAACAGUUCUUUAAUGUAAGUUCAGCCGAACAGACAUAUUGUAAAUCCACGUAGGAGGAUGGUGACCCAAAUGGAGUGGAGGAGUGGAGACAGGCACGGCAGGCUCGAAAACAAACAGGGCUGGUGGCGUGGCUGAAAGCGAAGAGUAGGUUGCCCUUCAGCGUCGCUUGACGGACUGAAACGAACUGGCGCUGGCUCCCUGGAUCACAGGAGUACUAGUGCUGGAGCUUGAUUAGUGAAUUGCCUGCAGCUGCGCUGGAGAGCCAGGUGCCCUGAUGGAAAGACCACGCCUACACACACUCACUCCACACACACGACCAAAAAAGGAAGACAGCAGCCUGAGUCACGGCCAGGCCGUGACAGGAGCAACGACUAACCUCGCCUCAUAACGAGGCCGUGACCUAUAUUUGCUCGGAGCUGUUUGUAAGUCCAGAUUUACAUGACGCUGAUAAUGACACCAUUGUGUCUGCCUGUAAGACAUGACGAGACAGCACGCAGGAGCUUC
Perca flavescens (yellow perch) is the source of this 1076-nucleotide long non-coding RNA. RefSeq lists it as uncharacterized. The record is from RefSeq and is a predicted model, not a curated record. NCBI's taxonomy places the organism in Eukaryota, Metazoa, Chordata, Actinopteri, Perciformes, Percidae. The transcript is spliced from 4 exons.